This 293-nucleotide ribosomal RNA is filed under the name uncultured bacterium. Its description in RNAcentral is "partial 16S ribosomal RNA". It matches the Rfam family "Bacterial small subunit ribosomal RNA", at positions 775 to 1067 of the family's 1533-position model. The record is from RNAcentral.
GGAUUAGAUACCCUGGUAGUCCACGCAGUAAACGAUGAAUGCUAGUUGUCGGGAUCGCAAGAUUUCGGUGGCGAAGUUAACACGAUAAGCAUUCCGCCUGGGGACUACGGUCGCAAGACUAAAACUCAAAGGAAUUGACGGGGACCCGCACAAGCAGUGGAGCAUGUGGUUUAAUUCGAUGCAACGCGAAAAACCUUACCAGCUCUUGCAUCUGGGUGACCGGUACAGAGAUGUACUUUCGGAGCAAUCCGCACCCAAGACAGGUGUUGCAUGGCUGUCGUCAGCUCGUGCCG